RNAcentral lists this ribosomal RNA (504 nucleotides) under Neurothemis terminata. RNAcentral's name for it is "partial 16S rRNA". It matches the Rfam family "Bacterial large subunit ribosomal RNA", at positions 1819 to 2597 of the family's 2925-position model. The record is from RNAcentral. Lineage: Eukaryota; Metazoa; Arthropoda; Insecta; Odonata; Libellulidae.
GUCCUUUAGAAUUUAAUUUAAGGUCUGACCUGCCCAGUGAUUAAUUUAACGGCCGCGGUACACUGACCGUGCAAAGGUAGCAUAAUCAUUAGUCUUUUAAUAGGGGGCUGGAAUGAAAGGUUUAACGAGGGACUGACUGUCUUAUUUUAUUUGUUUUAAAAUUUAAUUUUUUAGUUAAAAAGCUAAAAUACUGUUGGUAGACGAGAAGACCCUAUAGAUCUUUAUAUAUUUUUAUUUAAUUAUUUUUAUAUUAAUAUUUUUAUAUAGAAAUGUAUUUUGUUGGGGUGACAAAAAUAUACAAAUAACUUUUUUAUUUUAUUAACAUUGAUUUAUGAAUAUAUGAUCCAAUACUAUUGAUUAUUAGAUUAAGUUACCUUAGGGAUAACAGCGUAAUUUUCUCCCAGAGUUCAUAUUUACGGGAAAGUUUGCGACCUCGAUGUUGGAUUAAGAUGAUAAUUAGGUGUAGCCGCUUAAUGUAUAGGUCUGUUCGACCUUUAAAUUCUU